This 306-nucleotide ribosomal RNA is filed under the name uncultured bacterium. RNAcentral describes it as "partial 16S ribosomal RNA". It matches the Rfam family "Bacterial small subunit ribosomal RNA", at positions 507 to 809 of the family's 1533-position model. The record is from RNAcentral.
GACAGCAGUAGCCGCGGGAAUACAGAGGGUGCGAGCGUUAAUCGGAUUUACUGGGCGUAAAGCGUACGUAGGCGGCUUUUUAAGUCGGAUGUGAAAUCCCUGAGCUUAACUUAGGAAUUGCAUUCGAUACUGGGAAGCUAGAGUAUGGGAGAGGAUGGUAGAAUUCCAGGUGUAGCGGUGAAAUGCGUAGAGAUCUGGAGGAAUACCGAUGGCGAAGGCAGCCAUCUGGCCUAAUACUGACGCUGAGGUACGAAAGCAUGGGGAGCAAACAGGAUUAGAUACCCGCGUAGUCCCUGUCUCUUAUAA